UACGUAGGGGGCAAGCGUUAUCCGGAUUUACUGGGUGUAAAGGGAGCGUAGACGGAGGAGCAAGUCUGAAGUGAAAGCCCGCGGCUCAACUGCGGGACUGCUUUGGAAACUGUUCAUCUAGAGUGUCGGAGAGGUAAGUGGAAUUCCUAGUGUAGCGGUGAAAUGCGUAGAUAUUAGGAGGAACACCAGUGGCGAAGGCGGCUUACUGGACGAUGACUGACGUUGAGGCUCGAAAGCGUGGGGAGCAAACAGG
This 253-nucleotide ribosomal RNA is filed under the name uncultured bacterium. Its description in RNAcentral is "partial 16S ribosomal RNA". It matches the Rfam family "Bacterial small subunit ribosomal RNA", at positions 524 to 776 of the family's 1533-position model. The record is from RNAcentral.